This is a long non-coding RNA of Gopherus evgoodei (Goodes thornscrub tortoise), 959 nucleotides long. RefSeq lists it as uncharacterized. The transcript is spliced from 6 exons. The record is from RefSeq and is a predicted model, not a curated record. NCBI's taxonomy places the organism in Eukaryota, Metazoa, Chordata, Testudines, Testudinidae.
GAGCAUUCAAACAAUGUGCAUGAUGGAGGAGGGGAGCUCGGUCUGAGGAUUAUUGCUACAUACCGAGGCUCUUCCUGGAGGAAUAUUUGCAGAGCCUAGUGAUAGCCACUGAACAGUCAACAUUUGCUAAUAAUAACCACAGCAGUUUGAAAGAAGACUUUUCAUAGGGAGAUCUAAGUUUCCUCGACUGUCAAGAGCAUGGGGAGUGAAGGCUGAGCUAAACCUCUGAAAAACAUUUAGGUCACCUCCCAGCAAAUACACCAAGGAACUGCCAAAGAAAAGCAUAACAAUCUUUCAGCUUCAAUCAUUUCAGCUGAAAUUAUAAUGCAGAGGAAUGUCGACGUGACUGCCUUCUUCCAGAACUCAUGAUCGUAUGCCAGGCUGUCAUGCAGAUUGGUCUUUCUGAGGUUCACUGGUAUCCAGUCCACGUGCUGAGUCGUUGGUCAUCUUCCAUCCACAGUCAUCGCAAGAGUCAUUGUACUGACACAGCUGUCCAAUCUCCACUGGUUAUGCCCACACCAACAUAGCCUGGCCUCCCUCAACCUGUCCAGGGGCGAGAACUGGGGUCAGCUGCCACCAUUUGCACUAUGCAGCUUUAGUAAGAUGCUGGGCUUCACCAUCAUCAGUCGCCAUUGAUUCUCGGUAUUUAAAUUGUUUCACUGUUCUAAGCUGUCUGCCUGUAAUAUCCUUUAUGGAGCUGUGAAGGAGUAAAUAAUCCUAUGUGGAAAGAAGGAAAACUAACCUGAAACUACACAGUGGAUUGGUUCGGUUCAAUCCCAAUGGAAACUGAGCCUGCAGAAGAGCUGUAGUUAAGUGAGAUAUUGCCAUCAUUUGAAACUGAACAUAUUUCAUCAAUAUUCUUCAUGCUAAUUUCAGUUUAACCUCACUACCUUUACAAUAUAGUAUUUAAAAUGUGGCCUUAAAAGUCUGUUGAAGAAUGAAUGACUAGCUAAAUGCCC